AGAGUCAACGCUGGCGGCGUGCCUAACACAUGCAAGUCGCACGAGAAAGGGACUUCGGUCCUGAGUAAAGUGGCGCACGGGUGAGUAACACGUGAAUCAUCUACCUCCGAGUGGGGAAUAACCUAGAGAAAUCUGGGCUAAUACCGCAUAACACUUACGAGUCAAAGCAGCAAUGCGCUUGGAGAGGAGUUCGCGGCAGAUUAGUUAGUUGGCGGGGUAAUGGCCCACCAAGACGAUGAUCUGUA
RNAcentral lists this ribosomal RNA (245 nucleotides) under uncultured bacterium. RNAcentral describes it as "partial small subunit ribosomal RNA". It matches the Rfam family "Bacterial small subunit ribosomal RNA", at positions 26 to 285 of the family's 1533-position model. The record is from RNAcentral.